GAUGAACGCUGGCGGCGUGCCUAAUACAUGCAAGUCGAGCGAACGGACGAGAAGCUUGCUUCUCUGAUGUUAGCGGCGGGCGGGUGAGUAACACGUGGAUACCCUACCUAUAAGACUGGGAUAACUUCGGGAAACCGGAGCUAAUACCGGAUAAUAUUUUGAACCGCAUGGUUCAAAAGUGAAAGACGGUCUUGCUGUCACUUAUAGAUGGAUCCGCGCUGCAUUAGCUAGUUGGUAAGGUAACGGCUUACCAAGGCAACGAUGCAUAGCCGACCUGAGAGGGUGAUCGGCCACACUGGAACUGAGACACGGUCCAGACUCCUACGGGAGGCAGCAGUAGGGAAUCUUCCGCAAUGGGCGAAAGCCUGACGGAGCAACGCCGCGUGAGUGAUGAAGGUCUUCGGAUCGUAAAACUCUGUUAUUAGGGAAGAACAGAUGUGUAAGUAACUGUGCACAUCUUGACGGUACCUAAUCAGAAAGCCACGGCUAACUACGUG
Molecule: ribosomal RNA, 497 nt
Filed under: uncultured bacterium
Lineage: Bacteria
Description: partial 16S ribosomal RNA
Rfam family: Bacterial small subunit ribosomal RNA
Source: RNAcentral